This 468-nucleotide ribosomal RNA is filed under the name uncultured bacterium. Its description in RNAcentral is "partial 16S ribosomal RNA". It matches the Rfam family "Bacterial small subunit ribosomal RNA", at positions 28 to 507 of the family's 1533-position model. The record is from RNAcentral.
GACGAACGCUGGCGGCGUGCUUAAUACAUGCAAGUCGAACGGAAAGGCUCUGCUUUUGUGGGGUUCUCGAGUGGAGAAAGGGUGAGUAACACGUGAGUAACAUGUCCUUGUCUUUGGGAUAACUUCAGGAAAAAGGGGCUCAUACCGGAUAGGAUCUCUUGCUGCAUGGUGGGGGUUGGAAAGAUUCGGCGGUUGGGGAUGGACUCGCGGCUUAUCAGCUUGUUGGUGAGGUAGUGGCUUACCAAGGCUUCGACGGGUAGCCGGCCUGAGAGGGUGACCGGCCACAUUAGGACUGAGAUACGGCCCAGACGCCUACGUGAGGCAGCAGUGGAAAAUUGUGCGCAAUAGGCGGAAGCCUGAUACAACGACGCCGCGUGCGGAAUGACGGCCUUCGGGGUAUAAACCGCUUUCGCCUGUGACGAAGCGUGAGUGACGGUAAUUGGUAAGGAAGCACCGGCUAACUACGUG